AUGAGAGACCAAACCCUCUCCAGCACUGUCCUGCUGCCACAGAUGCUCCAUAGCUCUGAGUCACCUCUGUGCACAGUGUCUGAAGGUGGAUGCCAAAAAAAGCAGGGCCAGUCCUCCAAAAGACCUUCACCUGAAGAUGGUGACAUCCUCUACCAUGCCUGGGUUUGGGAAUUCCAACUGCAGGCUACAGGCCAAGUCAAGAACAUCGAGAAGACAUGUUCAUAUUUCCAGAUCAGUACCAGACACAGCUCUGCAGAUAUGAAAAAGAAACCACCCUUGUCAGGGUGUCCCAGGAAAGGACAAAGAGCAACACUGGGAAGGUGGUGGCAUCUGUGUCCUUGCAGAUAGCCAAGGACAAAAUCCAACCAGACAAGGCACUGAGCAACCUGCUUAGCACUUCACUUAGUGAAUAACCAGAGAUUCUAUGCAGAAUCUCAAGUCCUGCAAGCUGUUCUGCAGCUCCCUAGCAAGCAGUCGCCCCCCCACCUCACCCUUAGGACAGUUUUUCUUCAGAGCCAAUCCCAUUUCAGUAUCAGGGACUUGAAUUUGGCCUUACAUCUGAUGAUCUCAGAAGAGUUCAUUAGGUCAGGAAAAAGAUUUUUGGGGAGCUUCCCUAGUCACAAACCCCUUAGUCCAGCAUCACCACAAGUGAUGAUAGCUUGUAUCAAACACUCAUUAUUAACAGUAGUGCAUUAAUGACCGAAUCCAAAGCAGAAUGCUGCCAAGGGACAAGUAUUUAACUACUGCAGGAAACUGCAGAGACAAGGCUUCUUUUGGCAAGAAGGCAAAGAGAUUAAGUGUGUUGAGUUUUUUGUUGUUUUUGUUACUGCAGUAAGGGAAGGGAGCAGAAAAGGUCAGAUGGAGAGAGAGGAGAGAGAGGACUGCACAGGAGGUGACUGGAUUGCAAGAGAAAGUGAGGAGGGACAGUAGGGACAAGAGAGAUUCUUACAUGUUUGAGCUGGGUUUAAGGAAAAAGCAUCUCGCUUCUUUGCAGAGAAUUUACCUACUCCUACUCAAAAGCAAUAAAGUCAAAUAGAAAAAGACUAGAUGAGCUGGG
This 1057-nucleotide long non-coding RNA is filed under the name Phasianus colchicus (ring-necked pheasant). Its description in RNAcentral is "lncRNA (ENSPCLG00000004372.1)". Lineage: Eukaryota; Metazoa; Chordata; Aves; Galliformes; Phasianidae. The record is from RNAcentral.